RNAcentral lists this ribosomal RNA (468 nucleotides) under uncultured bacterium. Its description in RNAcentral is "partial 16S ribosomal RNA". It matches the Rfam family "Bacterial small subunit ribosomal RNA", at positions 28 to 507 of the family's 1533-position model. The record is from RNAcentral.
GACGAACGCUGGCGGCGUGCUUAACACAUGCAAGUCGAACGGAAAGGCCCUGCUUUUGUGGGGUGCUCGAGUGGCGAACGGGUGAGUAACACAUGAGUAACCUGCUCUUGACUUUGGGAUAACUUCAGGAAACUGGGGCUAAUACCGGAUAGGAGCUCCUGCUGCAUGGUGGGGGUUGGAAAGUUUCGGCGGUUGGGGAUGGACUCGCGGCUUAUCAGCUUGUUGGUGGGGUAGUGGCUUACCAAGGCUUUGACGGGUAGCCGGCCUGAGAGGGUGACCGGCCACAUUGGGACUGAGAUACGGCCCAGACUCCUACGGGAGGCAGCAGUGGGGAAUAUUGCACAAUGGGCGGAAGCCUGAUGCAGCAACGCCGCGUGCGGGAUGACGGCCUUCGGGUUGUAAACCGCUUUCGCCUGUGACGAAGCGUGAGUGACGGUAAUGGGUAAAGAAGCACCGGCUAACUACGUG